RNAcentral lists this ribosomal RNA (483 nucleotides) under uncultured bacterium. Its description in RNAcentral is "partial 16S ribosomal RNA". It matches the Rfam family "Bacterial small subunit ribosomal RNA", at positions 29 to 523 of the family's 1533-position model. The record is from RNAcentral.
AGUGAACGCUGGCGGCGUGCUUAACACAUGCAAGUCGAACGAGAACGGAUUAUAGCUUGCAAUAAUUGUCAGCUAAGUGGCGCACGGGUGAGUAAUGUAUAGGUAAUAUGCCUCUUACUAAGGGAUAACAAAUGGAAACGUUUGCUAAUACCUUAUACUCCUUAUUAACAGAAGUUAAUAAGGGAAAGAUUUAUUGGUAAGAGAUUAGCCUGUAUUGUAUCAGUUAGUUGGUGGGGUAAUGGCUUACCAAGACUAUGACACAUAACUGGUUUGAGAGGAUGAUCAGUCACACGGGAACUGAGACACGGUCCAGACUCCUACGGGAGGCAGCAGUGGGGAAUAUUGCACAAUGGACGAAGUCUGAUGCAGCAACGCCGCGUGGAGGAUGACACAUUUCGGUGCGUAAACUCCUUUUAUAAGAGAAGAUAAUGACGGUAUUAUAUGAAUAAGCACCGGCUAACUCCGUGCCAGCCGCCGCCGUAA